Molecule: ribosomal RNA, 391 nt
Filed under: uncultured bacterium
Lineage: Bacteria
Description: bacterial SSU rRNA
Rfam family: Bacterial small subunit ribosomal RNA
Source: RNAcentral
AGAGUUUGAUCCUGGCUCAGAACGAACGCUGGCGGCAGGCUUAACACAUGCAAGUCGAGCGCCCCGCAAGGGGAGCGGCAGACGGGUGAGUAACGCGUGGGAACAUACCCUCCGGUUCGGAAUAGCUCAGGGAAACUUGGAUUAAUACCGGAUACGGCCUAGCGGCGAAAGAUUCAUCGCCGGAGGAUUGGCCCGCGUCUGAUUAGCUAGUUGGUGGGGUAAUGGCCCACCAAGGCGACGAUCAGUAGCUGGUCUGAGAGGAUGAUCAGCCACAUUGGGACUGAGACACGGCCCAAACUCCUACGGGAGGCAGCAGUGGGGAAUAUUGGACAAUGGGCGCAAGCCUGAUCCAGCCAUGCCGCGUGAGUGAUGACGGCCUUAGGGUUGUAAA